GCCCUUAUAGUCUAGUGUAUGACACUUCAGUCCUAUAAACGUCAAUGUCCUGUACCUCUGACUGAGGAGGCGUGGGUUCAAAUCCCACUAAGGGUA
RNAcentral lists this transfer RNA (96 nucleotides) under Rhodocollybia butyracea. It matches the Rfam family "tRNA". Rfam says of the family: Transfer RNA (tRNA) molecules are approximately 80 nucleotides in length. Their secondary structure includes four short double-helical elements and three loops (D, anti-codon, and T loops). Further hydrogen bonds mediate the characteristic L-shaped molecular structure. tRNAs have two regions of fundamental functional importance: the anti-codon, which is responsible for specific mRNA codon recognition, and the 3' end, to which the tRNAs corresponding amino acid is attached (by aminoacyl-tRNA synthetases). tRNAs cope with the degeneracy of the genetic code in two manners: having more than one tRNA (with a specific anti-codon) for a particular amino acid; and 'wobble' base-pairing, i.e. permitting non-standard base-pairing at the 3rd anti-codon position. The record is from Rfam by way of RNAcentral. Lineage: Eukaryota; Fungi; Basidiomycota; Agaricomycetes; Agaricales; Omphalotaceae.